RNAcentral lists this ribosomal RNA (449 nucleotides) under uncultured bacterium. RNAcentral describes it as "partial 16S ribosomal RNA". It matches the Rfam family "Bacterial small subunit ribosomal RNA", at positions 29 to 523 of the family's 1533-position model. The record is from RNAcentral.
AAUGAACGCUGGCGGCAUGCCUAGCACAUGCAAGUCGAACGAAGGCUUCGGCCUUAGUGGCGCACGGGUGCGUAACGCGUGGGAAUCUGCCCUCAGGUUCGGAAUAACAGCGAGAAAUUGCUGCUAAUACCGGAAGAUAUCGCGAGAUCAAAGAUUUAUCGCCUGAGGAUGAGCCCGCGUAGGAUUAGCUAGUUGGUGUGGUAAAGGCGCACCAAGGCGACGAUCCUUAGCUGGUCUGAGAGGAUGAUCAGCCACACUGGGACUGAGACACGGCCCAGACUCCUACGGGAGGCAGCAGUGGGGAAUAUUGGACAAUGGGCGAAAGCCUGAUCCAGCAAUGCCGCGUGAGUGAUGAAGGCCUUAGGGUUGUAAAGCUCUUUUACCCGGGAUGAUAAUGACAGUACCGGGAGAAUAAGCUCCGGCUAACUCCGUGCCAGCAGCCGCCGUAA